ACGCACCAACACGGCGCCAGGAGAUCGUGUUGAUGCGAAAGCAAGCUGAACAAGCUGAGUGUAUGAUGCUCGGCAUCGGAAUGACUACGCGACGUUCAGCAACUGAUAGGUUCUCAAGAGUGGCUUCUAUCGCAGUUCCUCCCAUUCGCUGACGUUCAAAAGCAAUAGUUAAAGGGAGAUUUUUGGAAAGACUUUUACGGUCUGAAUUAACACGAAAACCGCCGUUCAAAAUGGGAGCGGAACAAAAGAAACUGCGACAAGCCAUUAAACCCCCUGAUGACUCUAUCUCUGCGAACGCUCAUCAUCCGACGAAUGGGACGAAGCAGCAACAGUACUAUGGUUUCUCGAUGCACCAGAGUUCGUGUCAGUCCGUGGCAAGAAUGUGCGACGUCCCUAUCGUUGGCGCAUGCAGACGGCACGAACGAAGCUCUAGAUAAAGGGCUUCGAGCGACGACUAGCGACUCUUGCUCGUCGGAGCAUCAUCAUUGCACCAGAGUUGCCGGGGCACAGCCGCGGGAAUCGCGCCUUUGUUCGGUCUGGUGCACGGUCUAGUGAAUAAAGCCAGAGUAUGGAAGCACCAAAUAUGCACGGGAAAUGAUCAGCAGUUCGAGCGAAUCGAAAUCGGAACACCGGCACAGGAUGUUGGAGAAAGAAGGUAAAAGAUCCAACAGGAGUUCCAGGAUUUGGAAAGGGGCUGUUAGUAUCGCCUUUUUUCUUCUGCCUAUUGGUGAUUGAUUGAAGUGAACACAAAAAAAGAGCGGUGAGAACAUGUACUGCGCUUCUGUGGUGUUCUGUGGCGCGACAUUCUUCGGCUGCUCGUUCUGAUCCAUCAGACUGGAAAGAACGAAACAGAGAAGGAAACGAACAGCCGCAUGUGAUAGGGAAAACACAUGCUCUGGCUCCGCUGAUAAGAAUUCGUUCCUGUGCGUGCCUAUGGGAUGUUGGUGCGAUGUGUGUCCGAGCAUGGACGGGUAUUUGUGUGAUGUGCAGUAAUUAAUUAACUAUUUAAUUGCUUUACCGGUUAUUGCUCAGAAGUGGCAGGUAAUAAAGCAGUGUAAGAAAUAAAAACUGUAAAGACACAUAAUCGCGUACCAAUCUGCCAUUAGUUAGGGUGUUAUGAGUAUCUAGUAAGCGAAAAUCCGUCAUGGUUGGUUGAAUAUUUUGGUGAAGAGAGAGUCAUUGUGGGUCUUUAGACAUCACCAUCAGAUGAUUGAUUCUUGGGCUUAUGCUUGCCAUAUCAUGGCUUACUAGAGUCCUUGUAGCUAAACAGUUCGGAUGGGAUUCAAUAUCCAGGACCUGCCAGGUGAGGAUCGGUACCAUCUCAGCCACAGGACCGCCCCAAGAAAUAGAGAUUAGAGUUCUUCUGCUGCCUUGGCACUACAACCUCGAGAGUGCCAUUUCUGGCUUUCUGGGACUUGAUUUUAUCCUAAGUAAUCAGCUCUGUGUACGUGGAGGCGGUCUGGAUGGGAUUUGAACCCCUGUCCUGCCGUAUGAAGACCGGCACCGUUAUCACCUAGGCCACCGGAGCGCUCCAGAGACUGAAGAGGCUAGAGACUAUAUUUUCGCAUAUUGAUGUGAGUAUGUCUAAGGCAUGAGUCUGUAGAGAGCUUGAUAAGCUGCCGAAAUUAGAGCCAUUUCAUGGUCGAAGUGUCCAAGGCCAAG
Molecule: RNA transcript, 1662 nt
Organism: Anopheles stephensi (Asian malaria mosquito)
Lineage: Eukaryota; Metazoa; Arthropoda; Insecta; Diptera; Culicidae
Exons: 2
Source: RefSeq, a predicted model, not a curated record